UAUUGUUGUUGACCGAUUAGUUGGGUUUCAAGAUCUCAGAAGUAAAGACGAUUUUCUAACAAGAGCAUUGGAACAUAUUCUUAUUCUCAAGACGAAAGGGAUAAUCGAUGAGAAGAAGAAAGAUGACGAAGAUGACGAUGAAGAAAGCGAGGCUAAGAAUAGGAGGGUUAGGUCCUCAACUGCUCAAGACUGAUUCAGACUGAACCUGAGAUGAGGAUUGAGGACUCACCUUUUUUGCACUUUGGAUUUUGUUUGUUUGUUCUGUGCUGUGCUGUACUGUACUAUAAUUGAUUUGUGUAACCAUGUAUCGGUACCAGACACCACAACAAGAACAUGUACAAGAGAUUCUUUAGCAUCCAUUGUGUGUAAAAGCUAGGGUUUGUGGCUGCCUUUUAUUUCA
This is a long non-coding RNA of Zea mays, 400 nucleotides long. RefSeq lists it as uncharacterized. The transcript has 2 exons. The record is from RefSeq and is a predicted model, not a curated record. NCBI's taxonomy places the organism in Eukaryota, Viridiplantae, Streptophyta, Magnoliopsida, Poales, Poaceae.